GUGAAUCAUCGAAUCUUUGAACGCACAUUGCGCCCCUUAGUAUUCUAGGGGGCAUGCCUGUUCGAGCGUCAUUACAACCCUCAAGCUCUGCUUGGUAUUGGGCCAUGCCGGUUAGGCAGGCCUCAAAAUGAGCGGCAGGACUCAUAUCAGACCUGAGCGUAGUAAUUCUUUCUCGCUUUGGGGACGGUAUGGCCUCGCCAAACACCAUUUUUUUCUCAGGUUGACCUCGGAUCAGGUAGGGUUACCCGCUGAACUUAAGCAUAUCAAUAAGCGGAGGA
RNAcentral lists this unclassified non-coding RNA (278 nucleotides) under Lauriomyces sp. Its description in RNAcentral is "partial contains 5.8S ribosomal RNA, internal transcribed spacer 2, and large subunit ribosomal RNA". The stretch from base 1 to 71 matches the Rfam family "5.8S ribosomal RNA", at positions 84 to 154 of the family's 154-position model. The record is from RNAcentral. Lineage: Eukaryota; Fungi; Ascomycota; Leotiomycetes.